GUUGGGUAGGGGAGCGUUCUGUAAGCCUGCGAAGGUGUACUGUGAGGUAUGCUGGAGGUAUCAGAAGUGCGAAUGCUGACAUAAGUAACGAUAAUGCGGGUGAAAAACCCGCACGCCGGAAGACCAAGGGUUCCUGUCCAACGUUAAUCGGGGCAGGGUGAGUCGACCCCUAAGGCGAGGCUGAAAAGCGUAGUCGAUGGGAAACGGGUUAAUAUUCCCGUACUGGUGGUAACUGCGAUGGGGGAACGGAGAAGGCUAGGUUGUCCGGGCGACGGUCGUCCCGGUUCAAGCAGGUAGGCAGAGUGAUUAGGCAAAUCCGGUCACUUAAUGCUGAGAUGUGAUGACGAACCACCAAGGUGGUGAAGCAAUUGAUGCCCCGCUUCCAGGAAAAGCCUCUAAGCUUCAGGUUACCAACAAUCGUACCCCAAACCGACACAGGUGGUCAGGUAGAGAAUACUCAGGCGCUUGAGAGAACUCGGGUGAAGGAACUAGGCAAAAUGGUGCCGUAACUUCGGGAGAAGGCACGCUGGCGGUAGGUAAAGUCCCUCGCGGACGGCGCUGAAGCCAGUCGAAGAUACCAGCUGGCUGCAACUGUUUAUUAAAAACACAGCACUGUGCAAACACGAAAGUGGACGUAUACGGUGUGACGCCUGCCCGGUGCUGGAAGGUUAAUUGAUGGGGUUAGCGCAAGCGAAGCUCCUGAUCGAAGCCCCAGUAAACGGCGGCCGUAACUAUAACGGUCCUAAGGUAGCGAAAUUCCUUGUCGGGUAAGUUCCGACCUGCACGAAUGGCGUAAUGAUGGCCAGGCUGUCUCCACCCGAGACUCAGUGAAAUUGAACUCGCUGUGAAGAUGCAGUGUACCCGCGGCAAGACGGAAAGACCCCGUGAACCUUUACUAUAGCUUGACACUGAACAUUGAGCCUUGAUGUGUAGGAUAGGUGGGAGGCUUUGAAGUGUGGACGCCAGUCUGCAUGGAGCCAACCUUGAAAUACCACCCUUUAACGUUUGAUGUUCUAACCUAGGCCCAUAAACUGGGUCGGGGACCGUGUCUGGUGGGUAGUUUGACUGGGGCGGUCUCCUCCUAAAGAGUAACGGAGGAGCACGAAGGUUGGCUAAGCAUGGUCGGACAUCAUGCGGUUAGUGCAAAGGCAUAAGCCAGCUUGACUGCGAGAGUGACGGCUCGAGCAGGUACGAAAGUAGGUCUUAGUGAUCCGGUGGUUCUGAAUGGAAGGGCCAUCGCUCAACGGAUAAAAGGUACUCCGGGGAUAACAGGCUGAUACCGCCCAAGAGUUCAUAUCGACGGCGGUGUUUGGCACCUCGAUGUCGGCUCAUCACAUCCUGGGGCUGAAGUAGGUCCCAAGGGUAUGGCUGUUCGCCAUUUAAAGUGGUACGCGAGCUGGGUUUAGAACGUCGUGAGACAGUUCGGUCCCUAUCUGCCGUGGGCGUUGGAAGAUUGAGAGGGGUUGCUCCUAGUACGAGAGGACCGGAGUGAACGCACCACUGGUGUUCGGGUUGUCAUGCCAAUGGCAUUGCCCGGUAGCUAAGUGCGGAAGAGAUAACCGCUGAAAGCAUCUAAGCGGGAAACUUGCCUCGAGAUGAGUCUUCCCUGUCGCUUUAAGCGACCUAAAGGAACGUUUAAGACUAAGACGUUGAUAGGCUGGGUGUGUAAGCGUAGCGAUACGUUGAGCUAACCAGUACUAAUGAACCGUGAGGCUUAACCUG
Molecule: ribosomal RNA, 1722 nt
Filed under: Proteus mirabilis
Lineage: Bacteria; Pseudomonadati; Pseudomonadota; Gammaproteobacteria; Enterobacterales; Morganellaceae
Description: partial 23S ribosomal RNA
Rfam family: Bacterial large subunit ribosomal RNA
Source: RNAcentral